Molecule: long non-coding RNA, 443 nt
Filed under: Rattus norvegicus (Norway rat)
Lineage: Eukaryota; Metazoa; Chordata; Mammalia; Rodentia; Muridae
Description: long non-coding RNA NONRATT003961
Source: RNAcentral
AGAGAAAUGAGAAAGAAUCUUACACAAGAUGAGAUGCAAAGAAUGUCUACUAGAGUCCUUUUGGCGACUCUUUCCAUUCCUAUUACUCCUGAGCGAACUGAUAUUGCACGACUUUUGGAUAUGGAUGGUAUUAUAGUUGAGAAGCAGCGGCGCCUUGCCACAUUGCUAGGUCUUCAAGCACCACCCACACGAAUUGGACUUAUUAAUGAUAUGGUCAGGUUUAAUGUGCUACAAUAUGUUGUCCCAGAAGUGAAAGACCUUUACAACUGGUUGGAGGUGGAAUUCAACCCACUAAAACUCUGUGAGAGAGUUACAAAGGUAUUAAAUUGGGUUAGGGAACAACCUGAAAAAGAACCAGAAUUGCAACAAUAUGUGCCACAACUACAGAACAAUACCAUACUCCGUCUUCUGCAACAGGUAAAAUAAAAGCAAAUGAUUAAUGG